GAUGAACGCUGGCGGCAUGCCUAACACAUGCAAGUCGAUCGGUAAGGCUCUUCGGAGUACACGAGAGGCGGACGGCUGAGUAACGCGUAGGAACACACCCUGCAGUGAGGGAUAAGACACCGAAAGGUGUUCUAAUACCGCAUACGGUCUUCGGAUUAAAGCAUUUAUGCGCUGAAGGAGUGGCCUGCGUCAUAUUAGAUAGUUGGUGAGGUAAUGGCUCACCAAGUCGAUGAUGUGUAGCUGGUCUGAGAGGAUGAUCAGCCAGACUGGAACUGAGACACGGUCCAGACUCCUACGGGAGGCAGCAGUGAGGAAUAUUUCACAAUGAGCGAAAGCUUGAUGGAGCAAUGCCGCGUGCAGGAUGAAGGCCCUCGGGUUGAAAACUGCUUUUAUAAGAGAAGAUUAUGACGGUAACUUAUGAAUAAGGGACGGCUAACUACGUG
This 443-nucleotide ribosomal RNA is filed under the name uncultured bacterium. RNAcentral's name for it is "partial 16S ribosomal RNA". It matches the Rfam family "Bacterial small subunit ribosomal RNA", at positions 28 to 507 of the family's 1533-position model. The record is from RNAcentral.